AGUUCAAGGCCAAUCUCUACUAGA
RNAcentral lists this non-coding RNA (24 nucleotides) under Arabidopsis thaliana (thale cress). Lineage: Eukaryota; Viridiplantae; Streptophyta; Magnoliopsida; Brassicales; Brassicaceae. The record is from RNAcentral.